CUGAAGUGUGGGAGAUGCAUUCGAUCGAUAAUAGCGGGCAAGGCGCUGACGGCGUGCGACUUGCCGAUUUCAACC
This 75-nucleotide transfer RNA is filed under the name Aureliella helgolandensis. Its description in RNAcentral is "Planctomycetes bacterium Q31a tRNA-Ile". Lineage: Bacteria; Pseudomonadati; Planctomycetota; Planctomycetia; Pirellulales; Pirellulaceae. The record is from RNAcentral.